UUUAUAUAUUUAAUUGUACUAUUACUAAAUUUAUUUAAUAUUACAUGAUUUUUCAAUAAAACCAUUUUAAUAGUUUUCUCAUACUCGAAGAUUUUUUUUGUAAUCCAAACUCAAAGUAUGAGUGUAUAAUAGUCAUGUAUUACUUAAUGAUUUGAGUAAGUUAUUCUUUUAAAUUGAUAUUUAUAUAAUAAAUCACUGAUGAUAAAAAAAUACGUAAGGAGCUUCAUCAUCAAAUUCUUAGGUUUCUAAAAUCCAACGCUACCCUCUGUUAAAUUGCUUUAAGACAAACGUUGUUUAUAAAUUAUGUGUAUGAUGCAUUGUUGAGAAUGUUAUUAGAAAA
Molecule: small RNA, 340 nt
Filed under: Arabidopsis thaliana (thale cress)
Lineage: Eukaryota; Viridiplantae; Streptophyta; Magnoliopsida; Brassicales; Brassicaceae
Description: ATSL284490
Source: RNAcentral